GGUUUGGGCGGUCACUUUUGGCUGACUUAUCUUCGUACCAAAGCAGACGUGAAACUGUCAUCCGCAGCCUUAUCCUGUACCUCAGUGAGAAAGAAGAAGAGCUUUUUGAAGAUUGCCUGGAGGACACUUGUAGUGAUGCCGCUGAACAUACCCUUAAGAUACUGGUCAUCCAUGGUGCUGAUCAAGAGGAUCCAGUCGAUGUGUCCAUCAUGCGGCAGUACUGCUAAAGCUUGCACACUGCUGAUGGGGCUUAUUUAAGCCCUCAACCUGGCAUACACCCCAACACUCUGCUACACCUUUGAGGUGUUCCAGAAACAUUUCCUGGACCUGGAUGGUGUUAAGAUGUCCCCAAAAGUGCAAUCUUUAUAGUUGAAGUUGCUCUCUUAAAUUCUAUCAACAUGGUACAUGCUGUACAAUCGAAGCUGUUGGUAGACUCCAAAUUACAUCUCCAGCUCAAAUAUUUUUUACAAAAUCUUGUCUAAUUUUUACUUCUUGAAAUGUU
Carassius auratus (goldfish) is the source of this 502-nucleotide long non-coding RNA. RefSeq lists it as uncharacterized. The transcript has 3 exons. Lineage: Eukaryota; Metazoa; Chordata; Actinopteri; Cypriniformes; Cyprinidae. The record is from RefSeq and is a predicted model, not a curated record.